This is a non-coding RNA of Pteropus alecto (black flying fox), 119 nucleotides long. Lineage: Eukaryota; Metazoa; Chordata; Mammalia; Chiroptera; Pteropodidae. The record is from Rfam.
GUCUAUGGCCAUGCCACCCUGAACACGCCCGAUCUCGUCUGAUUUUGGAAGCUAAGCAGGGUCGGGCCUGGUUAGUACUUGGAUGGGAGACCAUCUAGGAAGACCAGGUGCUGUAGGCA